AAUAAAGUGCCUGAUUAAAGGAUUAUUCUGAUAGGAUAAAUUAAGUAGAUUCCUACCUUUAUUA
Molecule: transfer RNA, 64 nt
Filed under: Eupithecia abietaria
Lineage: Eukaryota; Metazoa; Arthropoda; Insecta; Lepidoptera; Geometridae
Also listed under: 2 other names
Description: tRNA-Ile
Source: RNAcentral